GAUGAACGUUGGCGGCGUGCCUAAUACAUGCAAGUCGAACGAAGACUGUAGUAAUACUGUCUUAGUGGCGAACGGGUGAGUAACGCGUGGGUGACCUGCCCCGAAGUGUGGGAUAACAGUCCGAAAGGAUUGCUAAUACUGCAUAAUAUCCAAGAGAUUAGAUGCUUUUGGAUUAAAGGAGUAAUUCGCUUCGGGAGGGGCCCGCGUCCCAUCAGCUAGUUGGUAAGGUAAUGGCUUACCAAGGCGAUGACGGGUAGGGGACCUGAGAGGGUGGCCCCCCACAAUGGAACUGAAACACGGUCCAUACACCUACGGGUGGCAGCAGUAGGGAAUAUUAGUAAUGGGCGAAAGCCUGAACUAGCAACGCCGCGUGUGCGAAGAAGGCCUUCGGUCGUAAAGCACUUUUGUAGAGGAUGAGGAAGGACGGUACGUCUCAGAAUAAGUCUCGGCGUAACUACGUG
This 461-nucleotide ribosomal RNA is filed under the name uncultured bacterium. RNAcentral's name for it is "bacterial SSU rRNA". It matches the Rfam family "Bacterial small subunit ribosomal RNA", at positions 28 to 507 of the family's 1533-position model. The record is from RNAcentral.